Molecule: ribosomal RNA, 301 nt
Filed under: uncultured bacterium
Lineage: Bacteria
Description: partial 16S ribosomal RNA
Rfam family: Bacterial small subunit ribosomal RNA
Source: RNAcentral
CAGUCGCCGCGGUAAUACGGAGGGGGCUAGCGUUGUUCGGAAUUACUUGGCGUAAAGCGCACGUAGGCGGCUUGGUAAGUUAGAGGUGAAAGCCUGGAGCUCAACUCCAGAAUUGCCUUUAAGACUGCCGAGCUAGCAGGUGAGAGAGGUAAGUGGAAUUCCGAGUGUAGAGGUGAAAUUCGUAGAUAUUCGGAAGAACACCAGUGGCGAAGGCGGCUUACUGGCUCAUACUGGACGCUGAGGCGCGAAAGCGUGGGGAGCAAACAGGAUUAGAUACCCCGUAGUCCCUGUCUCUUAUACC